AACGAACGCUGGCGGCAGGCUUAACACAUGCAAGUCGAACGGUGUAGCAAUACACAGUGGCAGACGGGUGAGGAACACGUGGGAACAUCCCUUUCGGUUCGGAAUAACGUUGGGAAACUAACGCUAAUACCGGAUACGUCCUUCGGGAGAAAGAUUUAUUGCCGAGAGAUUGGCCCGCGUCUGAUUAGCUAGUUGGUGAGGUAACGGCUCACCAAGGCUACGAUCAGUAGCUGAUCUGAGAGGAUGAUCAGCCACAUUGGGACUGAGACACGGCCCAAACUCCUACGGGAGGCAGCAGUGGGGAAUAUUGGACAAUGGGCGCAAGCCUGAUCCAGCCAUGCCGCGUGAGUGAUGAAGGCCUUCGGGUUGUAAAGCUCUUUUAUCAGGGAAGAAUUAGUGACGUUACCUAAUGAAUAAGCAACUGCUAACUUCGUGCCAGCAGCCGCCGUAA
Molecule: ribosomal RNA, 451 nt
Filed under: uncultured bacterium
Lineage: Bacteria
Description: partial 16S ribosomal RNA
Rfam family: Bacterial small subunit ribosomal RNA
Source: RNAcentral